ACGACGACUGGCGCACGGGUGAGUAACGCGUAUCCAACCUUCCCAUGACCACGGGAUAACCCGUUGAAAGACGGCCUAAUACCGUAUGACGUCGUUUGCCGACAUCGAAAGACGACCAAAGGUUUGGCGGUGAUGGAUGGGGAUGCGUCUGAUUAGCUUGUUGGCGGGGUAACGGCCCACCAAGGCGACGAUCAGUAGGGGUUCUGAGAGGAUGAACGGCCACAUUGGGACUGAGACACGGCCCAGACUCCUACGGGAGGCAGCAGAU
This 268-nucleotide ribosomal RNA is filed under the name uncultured Prevotella sp. Its description in RNAcentral is "partial 16S ribosomal RNA". It matches the Rfam family "Bacterial small subunit ribosomal RNA", at positions 88 to 354 of the family's 1533-position model. The record is from RNAcentral. Lineage: Bacteria; Pseudomonadati; Bacteroidota; Bacteroidia; Bacteroidales; Prevotellaceae.